AGAGCACAGGGUGAAUGCCUUGGCACCAGGAGCCGAUGAAGGACGCGAUAAGCUGCGAUAAGCUACGGUAAGGCGCAAAUAGCCGUUGACCCGUAGAUUUCCGAAUGGGGAAACCCACAUGAGUUAAAUGCUCAUGUAUCGUAUAGUGAAUACAUAGCUAUACGAAGGGAUACGUGGGGAACUGAAACAUCUAAGUACCCACAGGAAAAGAAAUCAACAGAGAUUCCGCUAGUAGUGGCGAGCGAACGCGGAAGAGGCCAAACCAAGGAACUUCGGUUCUUUGGGGUUACGGACCGGCAUAAUGAUUCACAAAGUUUAGCGGAAUGAGCGGUUGGAACACCGAGCCCAUAGAGGGUAAGAGUCCCGUACGCGAAAAAUGGAGUGACAGGCCGGUAUCCAGAGUACCACGAGGCACGUGAAAUCUUGUGGGAAGUCGGGAGGACCACCUUCCAAGCCUAAAUACUACCUGGUGACCGAUAGUGGAGCAGUACCGUGAGGGAAAGGUGAAAAGAACCCCGGGAGGGGAGUGAAAGAGAACCUGAAACCUUGUGCUUACAAACAGUCGGAGGGCGUUAAUGCCUGACGGCGUACUUUUUGUAGAACGGUCCGGCGAGUUAUUGUAUAUGGCAAGGUUAAGUGCUUCAGGCACGGAGCCGCAGCGAGAGCGAGUCUUAAUAGGGCGCUUAGUCAUGUGCAAUAGACCCGAAACCGGGUGACCUAUCCAUGGACAGGCUGAAGUUGGAGUAAAAUCCAAUGGAGGGCCGAACCCACUGCUGUUGAAAAAGUAGGGGAUGAGCUGUGGAUAGGGGAGAAAUUCCAAUCGAACUCGGAGAUAGCUGGUUCUCCUCGAAAUAGCUUUAGGGCUAGCCUCAGAUUAAUCUAGCGGAGGUAAAGCACUGAAUGGGCUAGGGGCCUUACCAGGUUACCAAACCCUAUCAAACUCUGAAUGCCGCAUAGAUGAUGUCUGGGAGUCAGACAAUGUGAGAUAAGUUUCAUUGUCAAAAGGGAAACAGCCCAGACCGCCAACUAAGGUCCCCAAAUCAUGGUUAAGUGGUAAAGGAUGUGGAUUUGCUAAGACAGCUAGGACGUUGGCUUAGAAGCAGCCACUCAUUUAAAGAGUGCGUAACAGCUCACUAGUCGAGUGAGUCUGCGCCGAAAAUUCUCGGGGCUAAACCAUGUACCGAAGUUGCGGAUGUGAGCGGAUUUUAUUGAUAGUUCAUCAAAAGGGAAGAGAAUUUGGUGGCGAAGCCACUAAAUUCGAUUAAGUUAAAGUACGUACCGAAGUCAUGAGAGGUAGUAUUUUCUGAUGAUGAAAAAAAGAUGAGCUAUGAAUAAAAUCUGCUCACGUGGUAGAGGAGCUUAGCAUACGGAGUGAAGCAUGAUCGAGAGGACAUGUGGACUGUAUGGUAGUGAGAAUGCCGGAAUGAGUAGCGAGAGUGAAGUGAGAAUCUUUACCGCCGAAAAUCUAAGGUUUCCUGGGGAAGGCUCGUCCUCCCAGGGUCAGUCGGGGCCUAAGCUCAGGCCGAAAGGCGUAGGCGAUGGACAACAGGUUGAUAUUCCUGUACCACCGAUGUUCGUUAUUAGAGACGCGGGGACGCAGGGGGAUAGUUCGUGCCAGCUGCUGGAAUAGCUGGUCCAAGCGAGGUAGAUAGUCCUGUAGUAAAGUACGCAGGAUGUUUCGAAGGCGUGAUGGGGAGGGAAAUUAGAGUACCGAAGUGAAUGAUUCCGCACUGACGAGAAAAGCCGCUAUCGAGAACAAAGGUGCCCGUACCGCAAACCGACACAGGUAGAUGAGGAGAGAAUCCUAAGGCGAUCGGAAGAAAGGUUGUUAAGGAACUCGGCAAAUUGAUCCCGUAAGUUAGCAAGAAGGGAUGCCCGAGCCUAGGAGUGUUUACAUUUCUAGGGGAGGGCCGCAGAGAAAUGGCCCAGGCAACUGUUUAUCAAAAACACAGGUCUCUGCUAAAUCGAAAGAUGAAGUAUAGGGGCUGACGCCUGCCCGGUGCUGGAAGGUUACGGGGAACUGUUAGCGCAAGCGAAGCAGUGAACUUAAGCCCCAGUAAACGGCGGCCGUAACUAUAACGGUCCUAAGGUAGCGAAAUUCCUUGUCAGGUAAGUUCUGACCCGCACGAAUGGCGUAAUGAUCUGGGCACUGUCUCGACAACCUAUCCGGUGAAAUUGUAGUACUCGUGAAGAUGCGAGUUACCCGCGACUAGACGGAAAGACCCCAUGGAGCUUUACUGUAGCCUGAUACUGUGUUUCGGUAUUUCAUGUACAGGAUAGGAGGGAGGCUUUGAAGCCAGGACGUCAGUUCUGGUGGAGCCAUCGUUGGGAUACCUCUCUUGGAGUACUGGAACACUAACCAGAACCCGUGAUCCGGGUUUGGGACAAUGUCAGGUGGGCAGUUUGACUGGGGCGGUCGCCUCCAAAAAGGUAACGGAGGCGCCCAAAGGUCUCCUCAGCACGGUUGGAAAUCGUGCAACGAGUGUAAAGGCAUAAGGAGGCUUAACUGCGAGACAAACAAGUCGAGCAGAUACGAAAGUAGGGCUUAGUGAUCCGGCGGUAUGAGAGUGGAAUUGCCGUCGCUUAACGGAUAAAAGCUACCCUGGGGAUAACAGGCUGAUCUCCCCCAAGAGUUCACAUCGACGGGGAGGUUUGGCACCUCGAUGUCGGCUCAUCACAUCCUGGAGCUGUAGCAGGUUCCAAGGGUUUGGCUGUUCGCCAAUUAAAGUGGUACGCGAGCUGGGUUCAGAACGUCGUGAGACAGUUCGGUCCCUAUCUGUCGUGGGCGCAGGAUAUUUGAAGGGAGCUUUCCCUAGUACGAGAGGACCGGGAUGGACGCACCUCUGGUGCACCAGUUGUCACGCCAGUGGCACAGCUGGGUAGCUAAGUGCGGAUGAGAUAAACGCUGAAAGCAUCUAAGCGUGAAGCUCGCCCUAAGAUGAGAUAUCCCACCAUUUAU
Molecule: ribosomal RNA, 2959 nt
Filed under: metagenome
Description: bacterial LSU rRNA
Rfam family: Bacterial large subunit ribosomal RNA
Source: RNAcentral